RNAcentral lists this transfer RNA (75 nucleotides) under Psychrobacillus psychrotolerans. RNAcentral's name for it is "tRNA-Asn". It matches the Rfam family "tRNA". Rfam says of the family: Transfer RNA (tRNA) molecules are approximately 80 nucleotides in length. Their secondary structure includes four short double-helical elements and three loops (D, anti-codon, and T loops). Further hydrogen bonds mediate the characteristic L-shaped molecular structure. tRNAs have two regions of fundamental functional importance: the anti-codon, which is responsible for specific mRNA codon recognition, and the 3' end, to which the tRNAs corresponding amino acid is attached (by aminoacyl-tRNA synthetases). tRNAs cope with the degeneracy of the genetic code in two manners: having more than one tRNA (with a specific anti-codon) for a particular amino acid; and 'wobble' base-pairing, i.e. permitting non-standard base-pairing at the 3rd anti-codon position. Lineage: Bacteria; Bacillati; Bacillota; Bacilli; Caryophanales; Bacillaceae. The record is from RNAcentral. RNAcentral also lists the same sequence under 12 other names.
UCCGAAGUAGCUCAGUGGUAGAGCAAUCGACUGUUAAUCGAUCGGUCGUAGGUUCGAGUCCUACCUUCGGAGCCA